RNAcentral lists this unclassified non-coding RNA (323 nucleotides) under uncultured fungus. Its description in RNAcentral is "partial contains small subunit ribosomal RNA, internal transcribed spacer 1, and 5.8S ribosomal RNA". The stretch from base 1 to 73 matches the Rfam family "Eukaryotic small subunit ribosomal RNA", at positions 1759 to 1831 of the family's 1831-position model. The record is from RNAcentral. Lineage: Eukaryota; Fungi.
GCAAACUUGGUCAUUUAGAGGAAGUAAAAGUCGUAACAAGGUUUCCGUAGGUGAACCUGCGGAAGGAUCAUUAUCGAAUCGUCAAACAUGGGUUGUUGCUGGCCCCCGAACGGGGCAUGUGCACGCUCUGUUUACACAUCCACUCACACCUGUGCACCCUCUGCAGUUCUGUGGUUUGGGGGACCCCGUCUUCCUUUCCGUAGCUCUGCGUCUUUACACAAACGCCGUAGUGAUGUCUUAUGGAAUGUUUUCCGCGUUUAACGCGAUACAAUACAACUUUCAGCAACGGAUCUCUUGGCUCUCGCAUCGAUGAAGAACGCAGC